Molecule: long non-coding RNA, 1324 nt
Organism: Hordeum vulgare subsp. vulgare (domesticated barley)
Lineage: Eukaryota; Viridiplantae; Streptophyta; Magnoliopsida; Poales; Poaceae
Exons: 3
Source: RefSeq, a predicted model, not a curated record
CCAUAAAUUUUUCUCCGAUCCCAUUUGAAAGUCAUCGCCGCCACCGCGAGAGGGAUCCGAUCAUGGCUGGUGGAGCGGAGGAAAUGAGGGCGAGGGUCCGGCGCCGGGAGCGUUGAAAACAUCGAGUCAUCGAGCGUCUCUUCCCCGCGGGGGGUGAGUCGCUCGCAGCUGCUCCUGUGUUUCCGAUCCCUCUCCCGGACUUGUCCGCGUGGUGGACAUCAGCACAGCCUCAAGUGGGUGACAGUGUGAUGCAGUAAUCACGAACACAAGCCACAUUAAUAAUCCUGCUGGUCUGAACGAAGGAAUUUGUUUCAUCCAAAAGUGAUCAUUUAAGUCAUUUAUUGCAAGGUAGCCUGGAUGAUGCAACGACAAAGAUCCAUAGAAGCUUCGAACUAAUUGAGCUUACCAUAUGUUCAUGCUUUUUGUCAUGCGAAAGUGGCCUGGUGGGUGGACUGGAGGUUAUAAUAUCCUUUUUUACCUCUCUUGUUAGGUGCUGGUUGUGAUGCAAUGACAAAGAUCUUAAGUUUUUUUUUAUGCACCCGACCUACCUCAUUCUAGAAGGGGUAAUGCACUCUUCAUCAUUGAUGUUACAGAUACAUCAUAUACCAUCUUUCAGUUGCUCAGACUGUUGUGUUAGGUAAAGCUAUACUGAGCUUUGCAUCAUAUCCGCAUGCCUCCACAAUAUCUCACCUACUUUAGAUUUUGGGUUUUGUGGGGUCCUUCUAAUGGGCUGUAGUAGAACCUUCGAUAGACCUAACCUAUCGUAGGUAGUAUGAAUUUCAAAACAUCUUUACUUGGUUUCAUCUCUUUUGCUUCAGAAAACAGAUUUAUCCAAAAAGUUUAUGCGGACAUGACUUUCAGAAGCCAAAAAACAAUAAAAUAAAGCGGCCGAGCACCUGUCUCCCCACUCAUGCCAUUUGUGCAGCACGUCGGUACAGAUUCAGUGUAAUUUAACACGCAGUCAAACCAGCGGGGCAUUUCGCUUUGUUGAUAGGGAGAACCUCAUCACCAAUUGUUCUAAUGCCCAUAAUGGAGUACCUAUGCCAUGUCUUUGAGUGCAGGCGUGCAGACAUGAAUAAAGUACUAUGCUAGUCUUAAGAAGAACAAUAACAGGUAGAUACUUAGUUAGUGUUCUGGUAUUUCCAGUUUAUCUUACUUAUCUUUUUGAACAGAUUCUUCUAUUGCUGAAAUAUAUGUUCUUUGAGUUGACUCUUUUGUAGAAAUACUACCACUAGUUCAAGCUCAACAGUCUUGAGAAAGUUACGUAGUAUUCACUGGCUUGGGGAUGUUAAAUUGUCGAGUGUAACACUAAACUAAGGUUUAU